Mastomys coucha (southern multimammate mouse) is the source of this 144-nucleotide small nucleolar RNA. RefSeq annotates it as small nucleolar RNA SNORA48. The record is from RefSeq and is a predicted model, not a curated record. The transcript has a single exon. Lineage: Eukaryota; Metazoa; Chordata; Mammalia; Rodentia; Muridae.
AGUUUCUGGCAAUAGGCAAAGAGACAGCUUAUUGGUACUAUCAUUCUUAUAUUAGUCCGGGGCAGAGUAAAUGGCAGUCCUUUGUUCAUCCUAACUUGAUGCCUAGCUUGAUGGCUAAAGCUGUGUUAGGCCUAAGACAUACAA